Molecule: ribosomal RNA, 253 nt
Filed under: uncultured bacterium
Lineage: Bacteria
Description: partial 16S ribosomal RNA
Rfam family: Bacterial small subunit ribosomal RNA
Source: RNAcentral
UACGUAGGUGACAAGCGUUGUCCGGAUUUACUGGGCGUAAAGAGCGCGCAGGCGGUCGAUCAAGUCGAGUGUGAAAGCCCCGGGCUCAACCUGGGAAUGGCGAUGGAUACUGGCGGGCUAGAGUGCGGUAGAGGAGAGUGGAAUUCCCGGUGUAGCAGUGAAAUGCGUAGAGAUCGGGAGGAACAUCAGUUGCGAAGGCGGCUCUCUGGACCAGCACUGACACUGAGGCACGAAAGCGUGGGGAGCAAACAGG